GUGCCAGCAGCCGCGGUAACACGGGGGGAGCAAGCGUUGUUCGGAAUUACUGGGCGUAAAGGGCGUGUAGGCGGAUAGGUAAGUGGAAUGUGAAAUCCCUCGGCUCACCCGAGGACCUGCAUCCCAAACUGCCUGUCUUGAGUAUGGGAGAGGAUGAGGGAAUUCCUGGUGUAGCGGUGAAAUGCGUAGAUAUCAGGAGGAACACCGGUGGCGAAAGCGCUCAUCUGGCCCAAUACUGACGCUGAUGCGCGAAAGCUAGGGGAGCAAACGGGAUUAGAUACCCCGGUAGUCCUAGCCGUAAACGGUGAUCACUAGGUGUUGGAGGCAUCGACCCCUCCAGUGCCGCAGCUAACGCAUUAAGUGAUCCGCCUGGGGAGUACGGCCGCAAGGUUGAA
Molecule: ribosomal RNA, 395 nt
Filed under: uncultured bacterium
Lineage: Bacteria
Description: bacterial SSU rRNA
Rfam family: Bacterial small subunit ribosomal RNA
Source: RNAcentral